Arachis ipaensis is the source of this 1722-nucleotide non-coding RNA. NCBI's taxonomy places the organism in Eukaryota, Viridiplantae, Streptophyta, Magnoliopsida, Fabales, Fabaceae. The record is from RefSeq and is a predicted model, not a curated record.
CCAAAACCAAGAAACCCUAAGUAUCUUAUCUGGUGAAAAAGUGAAACCCGAAAGUGAAACUCUCUCAGUGGCAUUCUCCGAUCUCCUCCAACGACGAUCUUCUCCGGUGACAUCUCCUCCAGCGACAGCUUCUCCAGCGGCGAUCUCCUUCUGCAUUCGCCUCCUGUGACGAUAUCCUUCAAUGACGAUCUUUUCCGCGAUGAUCUUCUCCGGCAACACCUGGAGGCGAUCUCCUUCGGCGACAUCUCCUCCCGUCGCGAUCUUUUCCGGUGAUUCCUCUUCCAGCUUCCUCCUUGUCAUCCUCUGUGUCUUCUCCGCCAAAAUCCUCAGUGCCUCCCUUUCGUUCUAGAUCAGCAGUGUUUGAUGAUGAAAACCAAGUGCAGGAGAAUAGCUUCAUAUAUGAAAUGCACCUAUCACCUCCAUCUUCCCUCAAUCAAGUUGUCAUUCCCGUUUCAGAAACUAAUCAAACAAGACACCAUCAUAAUAAAGGCAGCCUUGCAUGUCCACCAGGGGCAAUGAUGCUUUCUGAGAGCACCAGUUGAGUUGAUUGGGAGAGGAAUGCAUGGGAGCCUCUACAAGGUGCUGAUGGUCAACGGUAUGUUCUUGGCUGUGAAGAGGAUCAAGGAUUGGGGAAUCUCCGAAAGUGAUUUCCAGAGAACAAUUGGAAAAGUUAGCCAAGUCAACCAUCCAUUUGUGUUGCAACCUCUUGCUUACGAUUGUUCCCGCCAAGAGAAGCUUCUUGCAUAUGAGUACAUGGACAAUGGGAGUCUCUUCAACAUGCUCUACAAAGUUGGCAUGAAUUAGAUGGAGGAUUUACAUGGUCUUUUAUUCAUAGAACAAAAGACAACUCAAAGGCAUCUAAUAGGGGAAUGAUUAAUAUAAUAAUAUCAGGCCCUCUGGUACAAAAUUCUUGAGCUUAGGUUCUUGCUUCAGAAGCAAUUUUCAAGUUCAAAUAGGUUACCUCAGGAUCCAGUCAAGUCUUCAUUUUGUGAAGCAGAUGAAAAUGUUAGAGUAGCAUACUCAGAUUUGAUUACUUCUUCCAAGGAGACUUUAGAUUCUAUAUUGGAACUCCAAGAGGAUAUAACUAAUCAAGUCGCUGCUUAUAUGAGGGACCCCAGUAGAAUGAUCAAACAGAUGCGGUUGAGAAAAUCUACUGUUAGUGUAUUUGAAUCUGUUGCUAUGGAGGAUCUAGAGACUUUAUAUGCAGAGGCAAAUGCAUAUGCUCUGGCAUCACACAUUUUCUGGGCAUUGUGGGCUCUAAUUCAGAUACAAUUACUAAAUAUUAAUCUUCAUCAUGUUAUGAUGAUUGUGAACGAAAUAAUGACUCUGAAUGUGGAAUUUGAAUAGGCAAAAGUGUCUCCAAUCGAUUUUGAUUAUCUUGGUUACUUUUUUCUUCGAUACAAAGAGUACAAAAGGUAGAAAGACAUGUACUUGUUGCUGGCAAGAUCCUAUAUUGCUGGAUGCAAAAUUAAUGGCAACAUUUAUUCGGAUCAAACUCGUCUAAAGUGAAGACAGUGACAAAGCAAAGAGCUAAUGUUUUGGUGGCUACGGUAACUAUAAUGGAGAAUGUUGUGUCCUGCAGGAGUAGUUUUAAAAUGUUGUGGUCAUGAAGGUGUACCAAACUUCUCAAUCUGUUUUUUCUUUAAAUUGCUAAACUGAAACCAUAAAAUUCCUUGUAAUGACUCAGACAUUGAAUCUUAUGGGUUAUGAUUUCUUACUAAA